RNAcentral lists this small nuclear RNA (118 nucleotides) under Arabidopsis thaliana (thale cress). RNAcentral's name for it is "U5 spliceosomal RNA". It matches the Rfam family "U5 spliceosomal RNA". From Rfam's summary of the family: U5 RNA is a component of both types of known spliceosome. The precise function of this molecule is unknown, though it is known that the 5' loop is required for splice site selection and p220 binding, and that both the 3' stem-loop and the Sm site are important for Sm protein binding and cap methylation. Lineage: Eukaryota; Viridiplantae; Streptophyta; Magnoliopsida; Brassicales; Brassicaceae. RNAcentral also lists the same sequence under 2 other names. The record is from RNAcentral.
AGCCAUGUGGUGAGCACAAAGCGAACUAUUCUUUCGCCUUUUACUAAAGAAUACCGUGUGCUCUCCACGCUAAGUGGCAUACGCCUAUUUUUGGAGGGCUCUCACUUUACAGUGGGAC